This 28-nucleotide non-coding RNA is filed under the name Mus musculus (house mouse). The record is from RNAcentral. Lineage: Eukaryota; Metazoa; Chordata; Mammalia; Rodentia; Muridae.
UGGACUACGAUGCACUGUGCCAAACAGA